Long non-coding RNA from Gallus gallus (chicken), 1571 nucleotides. RefSeq lists it as uncharacterized. The transcript has 5 exons. NCBI's taxonomy places the organism in Eukaryota, Metazoa, Chordata, Aves, Galliformes, Phasianidae. The record is from RefSeq and is a predicted model, not a curated record.
AAUUUAAUGAACUGGUGAGAUCUAGGUUUGGCAUAACAAGGUUAAAAAAUCAAAGAUACUCUCCGCAGAUAUGAAAUGUUAUAAAUUCAUUGCACUCAUAGGAAAAGAUCAUACAUUUUUCAAGUGAUAAGUUUAGUCCAGCAGAAUUUUGCCAUGUGGAACAUUGCUCAUCUGUACAAUGCCAUGGUUGAAACUUCUAGACUCUCACACUUUUAUAUUGUGCACUUACACUGGCACUUCCAUGUUCAGUGCAGACAUUUCAUGGCCUGCCAUCAAAGUUGCCUCAGUCUCUUAAGCAGGUUCUUUUUGCCUUCAGGGCAAAAUAUCUUUCUUGCCCUGGAACGACUCACAGGAUUGCAUCAUCCUGCACAGGGAUUAUGUCAAAAGGUCAUGGUGGUCACCAGCUGGAUGAUUCUCGCCUUCUCCUUCCCUAACACUUAUGCAUCUUUCAUGACCAAUUGUGGAUUCAUUACCAAGUCCAGGCCAGAUCUUACCCUUCUUUCCCAAUCAGAGGAAUACAUGCAACAAAAGUCCCAAUGUGCUCUCACCACAGACACAUAUUUUGCUUUUCCAUUAUGCCAACCAUACCACGAGUCUUUAUUUCCUAGGAAACAUUAAAACUUCUUCCUCUGUUUCUCUUUCCCUUGCAAGUGAAGAUCUGGGCCGACAUAGAUCUGUCCGUCCCACCAAACAGACUCUGUGGUAUAGAAGAGAGGAGAGUUUUGUCUCCCAGGGAUUGUUAUGCGAACCAUUCUCUGUUUGGACAGGUGGCAACGGGGAGUGAAGACGCUCAAGAAGCAGACAUUUUCUUUAUUACUGUAUUUAUUCCUGAAUCCUGCAUACAUUUUGCACUGAUCCCCUGCAUGUUGUAAGUCCCAUUUGUAUAUGAAGAAGCCUGCAAGAUGAAAUGACAUUCACAGUAAUUGUAUCUGGAAAAUCUGUUCUUCAGAGAUUGCAGAGAGAUGUAAGAAAUGCAUAUUACACAAGUGGAUAGAAGGUCUCAGCAAGAGACAUCUUCCACACCAGGCUGAGAAUGAAGUGUGCCUGCUUCUCCAAGCUAUUCGGUGCAAGCGAAGAUUGGAACAGUUGCAGCUAAGGCUCCUGGAUUUACACUGCAUGCAGCUCCUAUCUGUGACUUUACAGGACACCAUGCUGUCACUGCAUGCACUGCCCUGGAGAAGCUCUUGGAUGAACUCCCUGCGUAAGGGCUUGGCCACCAUCAUAUUUAGUAUCCAGCCUUCAUAAUUCUGAGAAAAUUCACCAAAUAAAGGGUUUAAACUAGAGAUGAGCCAGAAUCAGAAACCUGGAUCUUCACCAACACUCUGACCUUGGGCAUGUUUCAAUUGUUUUCCAAGCCUUUCAGUGGGGCCACUUCUGUAUGCCGGACCAAACCCAAACUCCGGAUCUAGAUAGCUGAAACUUUGCAAAGUGAUUUGGUUUCAGAUCUAAAAAACACAGUUUUAGUUUGUAAAGAAUUGAAACCAAGUUUGUAAUUACAAAAUGACGACUUUGGAUGACUGCAUUUUGAGAUGUUGGAAAUGAGAUAAAAUUAAAGAUUGUGAUCUUUUUAA